AGGAAAGGGAGGGAUUCAAACCCU
RNAcentral lists this transfer RNA (24 nucleotides) under Elaphoglossum ovatum. RNAcentral's name for it is "partial tRNA-Ser". Lineage: Eukaryota; Viridiplantae; Streptophyta; Polypodiopsida; Polypodiales; Dryopteridaceae. The record is from RNAcentral.